CCGACCUUAGCUCAGUUGGUAGAGCGGAAGACUGUAGUGGCACUGCUGAAAUCUUUUGGUCGCUGGUUUGAAUCCGGCAGGUCGGA
Molecule: non-coding RNA, 86 nt
Organism: Solanum lycopersicum (tomato)
Lineage: Eukaryota; Viridiplantae; Streptophyta; Magnoliopsida; Solanales; Solanaceae
Source: Rfam